RNAcentral lists this ribosomal RNA (404 nucleotides) under uncultured bacterium. RNAcentral describes it as "bacterial SSU rRNA". It matches the Rfam family "Bacterial small subunit ribosomal RNA", at positions 917 to 1344 of the family's 1533-position model. The record is from RNAcentral.
GGGCCCGCACAAGCGGUGGAGUAUGUGGUUUAAUUCGAUGCAACGCGAAGAACCUUACCAGGGUUUGACAUCCUGCGAAUCUCUUGGAAACGAGAGAGUGCCUUCGGGAGCGCAGUGACAGGUGGUGCAUGGCUGUCGUCAGCUCGUGUCGUGAGAUGUUGGGUUAAGUCCCGCAACGAGCGCAACCCACGUCUUUAGUUGCCAGCAUUUAGUUGGGAACUCUAAAGAGACUGCCGGUGAUAAGCCGGAGGAAGGUGGGGACGACGUCAAGUCCUCAUGGCCCUUACGGGAUGGGCUACACACGUGCUACAAUGGCAGUGACAAUGGGUUAACCCCCAAAAACUGUCUCAGUUCGGAUUGGAGUCUGCAACUCGACUCCAUGAAGUCGGAAUCGCUAGUAAUCG